GAUAAUGAUGGACUUCGGCAAGAUAUUGGCCACGAAAGUAAAAAAAUCCAUGGGCACAUAGAGAGAUGGAUACAGUAAAACCAAAAUGAAUUAAAACUGCCCCAUCACUUCCUGGACUCGCCAGUGUUGCUAAAGGCCUGCCAAAAGUUUUCCUCAUCGCAGACAAACCAAAGUAACUCGAAACAAAACACCUUGAGAUUUUGAUCGGGUCAUGCAAAAGACCAAUAAUUCAUUAAAGUUC
Pecten maximus is the source of this 241-nucleotide long non-coding RNA. RefSeq lists it as uncharacterized. Lineage: Eukaryota; Metazoa; Mollusca; Bivalvia; Pectinida; Pectinidae. The record is from RefSeq and is a predicted model, not a curated record. The transcript has 3 exons.